This 540-nucleotide ribosomal RNA is filed under the name uncultured Acinetobacter sp. Its description in RNAcentral is "bacterial SSU rRNA". It matches the Rfam family "Bacterial small subunit ribosomal RNA", at positions 337 to 868 of the family's 1533-position model. Lineage: Bacteria; Pseudomonadati; Pseudomonadota; Gammaproteobacteria; Moraxellales; Moraxellaceae. The record is from RNAcentral.
UCCUACGGGAGGCAGCAGUGGGGAAUAUUGGACAAUGGGCGGAAGCCUGAUCCAGCCAUGCCGCGUGUGUGAAGAAGGCCUUUUGGUUGUAAAGCACUUUAAGCGAGGAGGAGGCUACUUGGAUUAAUACUCUAGGAUAGUGGACGUUACUCGCAGAAUAAGCACCGGCUAACUCUGUGCCAGCAGCCGCGGUAAUACAGAGGGUGCGAGCGUUAAUCGGAUUUACUGGGCGUAAAGCGUGCGUAGGCGGCUUCUUAAGUCGGAUGUGAAAUCCCUGAGCUUAACUUAGGAAUUGCAUUCGAUACUGGGAAGCUAGAGUAUGGGAGAGGAUGGUAGAAUUCCAGGUGUAGCGGUGAAAUGCGUAGAGAUCUGGAGGAAUACCGAUGGCGAAGGCAGCCAUCUGGCCUAAUACUGACGCUGAGGUACGAAAGCAUGGGGAGCAAACAGGAUUAGAUACCCUGGUAGUCCAUGCCGUAAACGAUGUCUACUAGCCGUUGGGGCCUUUGAGGCUUUAGUGGCGCAGCUAACGCGAUAAGUAGA